Molecule: ribosomal RNA, 503 nt
Filed under: uncultured bacterium
Lineage: Bacteria
Description: partial 16S ribosomal RNA
Rfam family: Bacterial small subunit ribosomal RNA
Source: RNAcentral
AUUGAACGCUGGCGGCAGGCUUAACACAUGCGAGUCGAGCGGGGUGAUGGUGCUUGCACUAUCACUUAGCGGCGGACGGAUGAGUAAUGCUUAGGAAUCUGCCGGUUAGUGGGGGACGACAUCGCGACAGGGAUGCUAAUACCGCAUACGUGCUACGGGAUAAAGCAGGGGAUCACUUGUGACCUUGCGCUAAUAGAUGAGCCUGAGUCGGAUUAGCUAGUUGGUGGGGUAAAGGCCUACCAAGGCGACGAUCUGUAGCGGGUCUGAGAGGAUGAACCGCCACACUGGGACUGAGACACGGCCCAGACUCCUACGGGAGGCAGCAAUGGGGAAUAUUGGCCAAUGGGGGGAACCCUGAUCCAGCCAUGCCGCGUGUGUGAAGAAGGCCUUAUGGUUGUAAAGCACUUUAAGCGAGGAGGAGGCUCUUUUGGUUAAUACCCAAGAUGAGUGGACGUUACUCGCAGAAUAAGCACCAGCUAACUCUGUGCCAGCCGCCGCCGUAA